This 449-nucleotide ribosomal RNA is filed under the name uncultured organism. Its description in RNAcentral is "partial 16S ribosomal RNA". It matches the Rfam family "Bacterial small subunit ribosomal RNA", at positions 330 to 796 of the family's 1533-position model. The record is from RNAcentral.
CGUACACUCCUACGGGAGGCAGCAGUGGGGAAUAUUGGACAAUGGGCGCAAGCCUGAUCCAGCCAUGCCGCGUGAGUGAUGAAGGCCCUAGGGUUGUAAAGCUCUUUCACCGGUGAAGAUAAUGACGGUAACCGGAGAAGAAGCCCCGGCUAACUUCGUGCCAGCAGCCGCGGUAAUACGAAGGGGGCUAGCGUUGUUCGGAUUUACUGGGCGUAAAGCGCACGUAGGCGGACUAUUAAGUCAGGGGUGAAAUCCCGGGGCUCAACCCCGGAACUGCCUUUGAUACUGGUAGUCUUGAGUUCGAGAGAGGUGAGUGGAAUUCCGAGUGUAGAGGUGAAAUUCGUAGAUAUUCGGAGGAACACCAGUGGCGAAGGCGGCUCACUGGCUCGAUACUGACGCUGAGGUGCGAAAGCGUGGGGAGCAAACAGGAUUAGAUACCCCGGUAGUCC